CCGAGAGCAUGGGCCGAUCGAUCGAACUGGGAUCCAUGGCCUGCAAUUGUUCGGCUCCCGAUACGGGCAACAUGGAGGUCUUGUUGGAAUUCGGAACGCCAGCACAGCAACGCCAAUAUUUGAAGCCCUUGCUCGAGGCAAAAAUACGAUCCACCUUUUUGAUGACGGAA
RNAcentral lists this non-coding RNA (170 nucleotides) under Pseudo-nitzschia australis. The record is from RNAcentral. Lineage: Eukaryota; Bacillariophyta; Bacillariophyceae; Bacillariales; Bacillariaceae.